GACGAACGCUGGCGGCGUGCCUAAUACAUGCAAGUAGAACGCUGAAGAGAGGAGCUUGCUCUUCUUGGAUGAGUUGCGAACGGGUGAGUAACGCGUAGGUAACCUGCCUGGUAGCGGGGGAUAACUAUUGGAAACGAUAGCUAAUACCGCAUAAAAUGGAUUAUCGCAUGAUAAUCCAUUGAAAGGUGCAAAUGCAUCACUACCAGAUGGACCUGCGUUGUAUUAGCUAGUUGGUGGGGUAACGGCUCACCAAGGCGACGAUACAUAGCCGACCUGAGAGGGUGAUCGGCCACACUGGGACUGAGACACGGCCCAGACUCCUACGGGAGGCAGCAGUAGGGAAUCUUCGGCAAUGGACGGAAGUCUGACCGAGCAACGCCGCGUGAGUGAAGAAGGGUGUCGGAUCGGAAAGCUCUGUUGUAAGAGAAGAACGAGUGUGAGAGUGGAAAGUUCACACUGUGACGGUAUCUGACCAGAAAGGGACGGCUAACUACGUG
RNAcentral lists this ribosomal RNA (497 nucleotides) under uncultured bacterium. RNAcentral's name for it is "partial 16S ribosomal RNA". It matches the Rfam family "Bacterial small subunit ribosomal RNA", at positions 28 to 507 of the family's 1533-position model. The record is from RNAcentral.